GUGGGGAAUAUUGCACAAUGGGCGAAAGCCUGAUGCAGCAACGCCGCGUGAAGGAAGAAGGGUUUCGGCUCGUAAACUUCUAUCAACAGGGACGAAACAAAUGACGGUACUGAAUAAGAAGCCCCGGCUAACUACGUGCCAGCAGCCGCGGUAAUACGUAGGGGGCAAGCGUUAUCCGGAAUUACUGGGUGUAAAGGGUGAGUAGGCGGCAUGGUAAGUUAGAUGUGAAAGCCCGAGGCUUAACCUCGGGAUUGCAUUUAAAACUAUCAAGCUAGAGUACAGGAGAGGAAAGCGGAAUUCCUAGUGUAGCGGUGAAAUGCGUAGAUAUUAGGAAGAACACCAGUGGCGAAGGCGGCUUACUGGACUGUAACUGACGUUGAGGCUCGAAAGCGUGGGGAGCAAACAGGAUUAGAAACCCGGGUAGUCC
Molecule: ribosomal RNA, 427 nt
Filed under: uncultured bacterium
Lineage: Bacteria
Description: partial 16S ribosomal RNA
Rfam family: Bacterial small subunit ribosomal RNA
Source: RNAcentral